GACGAACCGAGCGGACGUUGUUCGGAAUCACUGGGCUUAAAGGGCGCGUAGGCGGGCCGCCAAGUCCGUGGUGAAAUCCCCCGGCUCAACCGGGGAAGUGCCUCGGAUACUGGCGGCCUCGAGGGGGGUAGGGGCGUGCGGAACUUCCGGUGGAGCGGUGAAAUGCGUAGAUAUCGGAAGGAACACCGGUGGCGAAAGCGGCGCGCUGGACCCCAUCUGACGCUGAGGCGCGAAAGCCAGGGGAGCGAACGGG
This 253-nucleotide ribosomal RNA is filed under the name uncultured bacterium. RNAcentral describes it as "partial 16S ribosomal RNA". It matches the Rfam family "Bacterial small subunit ribosomal RNA", at positions 524 to 776 of the family's 1533-position model. The record is from RNAcentral.